GGCGUCUCCAUAGCCUAUCUUGAAUCAAAAACCAAAGAGUCUACAUGUGGGCGAGUAGUCGGGUAGAAAACCAAAUUUUGUAACGAGCGUGAGCCUUGCGAAGUUUGGACCACUGGCAACAUCACUCUGAGCAGAUAAGUUGAGACCCCUUAGAUGAUGAUUUAUGCAUAAGUAAGGAAGAAAGGGGAAACUCUGGCUGAGGCUUGU
RNAcentral lists this ribosomal RNA (207 nucleotides) under Climacostomum virens. RNAcentral describes it as "partial Eukaryotic large subunit ribosomal RNA". The record is from RNAcentral. Lineage: Eukaryota; Ciliophora; Heterotrichea; Heterotrichida; Climacostomidae.